Molecule: RNA transcript, 4270 nt
Organism: Camelus dromedarius (Arabian camel)
Lineage: Eukaryota; Metazoa; Chordata; Mammalia; Artiodactyla; Camelidae
Gene: DHRS12
Gene name: dehydrogenase/reductase 12
Exons: 11
Source: RefSeq, a predicted model, not a curated record
GCUGGCGGCUCGGGAGGGGCUGGGCGGAGGCACCGGGAGUGCGGGGCCGCGGAACUCUGCGUGCGGCGUGCGCCCCACCAUGCUCCUCUACCGCAGCGCCGCGUGGUUCGCCAAGGGGCUGCGCGAAUACACCAAGAGUGGUUAUGAGUCUGCUUCCAAGGACUUUGUCCCUGAUGACUUGGAGGUCCAAGUUCCUGGGAGAUCCUUCUUGGUCACCGGCGGAAACAGCGGCAUUGGAAAAGCGACCGCCAUCGAGAUAGCCAAGCGAGGUGGCACAGUUCACCUGGUUUGUCGCGAUCAGAACCGAGCAGAAGGUGCCAGAGGUGAGAUCAUCAGGGAGAGCGGUAACCGGAACAUCUUCCUGCACAUUGUGGACUUGUCUGAUCCCAAGGCAAUCUGGGAAUUUGUGGAAAAUUUCAAGCAGGAACACACACUCCAUGUCCUGAUCAAUAAUGCAGGCUGCAUGGUCAAUAAAAGAGAGCUCACAGAAGACGGACUUGAAAAAAACUUUGCCACCAACACUCUGGGUGUGUAUGUCCUCACGACUGCCCUGAUCCCUGUGCUGGAGAAAGAACACGACUCCAGAGUGAUAACGGUCUCCUCUGGAGGAAUGUUGGUUCAGAAACUGAAUACCAACGACCUACAGUCAGAAAGGACAGCUUUCAAUGGAACUAUGGUCUAUGCACAAAACAAAAGGCAGCAGGUGGUUCUGACGGAGCACUGGGCCCGAGCGCACCCGGCCAUCCACUUCUCCUGCAUGCAUCCCGGCUGGGCUGACACCCCAGGCGUGCGGCUCUCCAUGCCAGGGUUCCACGCCAGCAUGGGGGACAGGCUGCGCUCUGCGGCCCAGGGCGCGGACACCGUGCUGUGGCUGGCCCUCGCCCCCGCCGCCACCGCGCAGCCCAGCGGCCUCUUCUUCCAAGAUCGGAAACCAGUGCCCACACACUUGCCUCUUGCUAGAACAUCGUCCUCACCGGCUGAAGAGGAGAAACUAAUUGAAAUCCUGGAAGAGCUGGCUCAGAGAUUUAAAUAGGCCAGGCCAGACCCAACAUGGGAAGGUGUGGACCAGAGGCCAGUGAGCAGACCCCACUUCUGCUUCCCCCCAUGGCCCUGGAGAUUGGCUCAUAUUCCACUGUUGCGCUUUGAGCUGGUUUCCCCUCCAUCUACGGUCACAGAAAUUAACCCCAUUCUUUAUAAAGCCCAGUUUUGAAGGCUUGAUCCACCACCACCUCACCGUGGGACCACAGGUCGGGUUACUUACCCUCUGGGGCUUCAUCUUCCCUGGCAGUAAAGAAGAUUAUAGUGGUGAAAAUCAGAUUUUUAAAAAAGACUUCAGGAUCCCAAGUUGAGUCACUACACACAAGAACACCUCAAUUUAUCAAGUUUGACUGGAUUCCCUUAAAGUGAGUUCUGCAGGUGUAUUUUCUACAGCCCCUCACCCCAUACAAGCCCAACAGGAACAGGGCAUGAGCUGCAGGGUUCAGUGUCUUCCAUGUCUCAGAUCACACAGGUUUAGUAUGAAAGUGUGCAAAGUAUUCAGAUAAAAUACAUGAAGAUAACAAUCUUUAAAUAUCUAGUUUUGAAAGGGGAAGAAAAUACAGACAGUGAAGAAUAAAAGCAGGCUACAACCUCAAAGCAAUGAAGACGUUCAAGUUCAGAGGUGACAUCACACGGAAAAACACAUCUUAAAAGACACUAUUCUUGGAGGACGCAAGGUUUUGUUUUUAAUAUGAGUGACGGAGAGCUGUGUCAAUAAAAUUAAAACAUAAAAGGAUCAGAAUUAGAAAUGAUCCAGGCACUGAGGGUUGAAGGUCUGAGUUAUGAAAAUGUGCCUCUGUGAUGAGAGUGUUUAGGAGCAGCUUUCUCCCAGCAUUUUUUUUUAAACGUGGGAAAGACAGAAAAACAGAGGCCGAAACACAAGAUCAUUUCCACUCCAUGAGAACGUGAGUGACCCCAACAUUACAAACGGAUGCUUCUCCAGGUGAUUCAAGAAGUCAGUUGGGAAACCCACAUAAAUGAUUUUCCAAAUCUCUCAAUGGAAGAGGAUUUCUAUGGAAGCAGAAACGCCGCAAAUAAACCGUAAAUGCCACCAACUCUGGCAAAUGGCAAGUGAAGGUGAGGGUGGAAACACAGAGAAGAAAAAGAUGCUGAUCACAGGAUGCAAGGCACGUGCCCAAGUGAAGGAAACAUGGGAACUACUUAACAACCACCCUUAUUUCUUCAAUGCACAAAGCAACAACGAAAAUGAAGUGCUGAAAAAUAUGAAAAUGAAACACCCCACACUCAGUUUUCAGGAUACUCCAGGAUACUCACAACAAUGUAGCACAGCCAGACUGUAUAAUCCCUUUGUUAAAAAAAUAUCUUCUUUUAUGUCGUAUGAACAAGUUGAAAGCGUUCCCUCGUGAGUUCACUGAUGCUCAGCGCUGUGGCGCGGCUGACCUGCAAACUCAGCUUCUCUCUUCCUUCUCACGCGUCUGCUUUCCCGCUCCAGUAAUGACUUGGAUUAGAACCACCAUUUCUUGAGUAAAUACUAUCUUUCUGAUGCCUGAGAGUGUCAUCAAGACACAACCGGGGUCAUAUCCCACAGCUGUAAAAAGAAGAGCUCUAAUGAACUACAAUUAAAUUGUGCUGAGGACCGACAGUCCUUACAACAGAAUUUUUAAAUUUAACAAGGAACUAAGUGUUGAACUAACAUCAUUCAUAAAUCUAUAAAACAGUAUUUGUCCACGAAAAAGUUUCAACAUAUCCUCAAAACCAGGGCAAUGGCAGCUGGAAAUUGUAAUCCAGUUGAUGGAGAAUAAAGGCAGAUUCGAUUUAUUUAAGGGGGAAGGGAAGUGACAUGUAUGAGGCAACAAAUGGUACCAGGAUGCGCUGUGUCCUCUACAUCUUAGCUAAUCUUCCAAACAGUUCUACAAGAUGUCUCAUAGAAAAUAAAGCAGCCAAGGCUCCCAUGAUUUACUUUAAACUUGCUCAAAGUCACAGAGCUGGCAGCUUCCAAAGGGGGUUAUUUUAACCACCUCAUCCUGCAGCCUCCAAGAAGGGACCAGAAUGGACCCAGGAAGUAGAGCUCAGUGAACCAGGUAAGCCUGUGUCUCAGAGAACGAUGCAGGGGUGGCCGCUUCCAUCCUGGGCCUCUGCUGUGGCACUGAAUCCACCGGUCCAGCACAGUCCUGAGAGAGGCCCUGGGGGGAUGCUUCUGGCUAACUGACCUCACUGGGAAAAGAUCUUGUUUAUUACUUGUUGGCUUCUUCAAUGCUCAGCUCAAACCCCACCUCUUUCAUGAAGCCAUCUCCAGCAGCACCGUCUCCCUCUACUGAACUUUUCAAGUAAUUCUUGCCUAUGUUACUCUUUUGGCUGCUGAACGUGCGACUAUUAUUAACUGUCUUUUUAAGAGUAUGUCCCUAGGAGAAUGGCUGUUCCUUUCAGGCAAGAGCCAUGUCUCACUUUGGGGUGUACAGCCAGUGCCUGUAAUGAGGUCUCAAAAAUGCUCGCUUUCAAGGGUAACCUUUUGAGCAGCCCUUACGCAGCCUUGGUGCCCCUGUAUAUCUGCAUAGGGCCAAAGAUGGGAAGCUUCUACAACAACAGCAUCCUACCUUAAUAACCUUGUCAGUUCCCGAAGUCAGUAACCAGCCUCUGGUGGGAUCAAAAUGCACAUGAACAAUAUUAUGUUUACUGUCAUGGAAGGUGGCGGUGGGCGCACGUCUGGAGGGAGCAAAGAAAGUUUCCAAGAGUUAAAGGCAGUAGUACAUAAAUGAAGGAGAUUUAGAGUGACAUUAAGGUCUAAUUUUUAGCCAAAUGGCCAAAACUACUUCACUGUUAGAACUGCUCCUCAGAUCCACCUCUAUUCCCUGAUGACACAUUAUGAUUAAAAAAAAAAGGAUUCUUAUAUAUUCUCCAAAAUGGUCAAGAGACGAUGAAGUUUCCAAAACUUUUCAAGAAUUUGUUGCUGUGAUAGACUCUGUGAGAAUCUCUAGCUGAGCUGUUGACAAACGUUUAAAAUAACCCAGUGCUUUUGCUGAGUUUGAUCUCAGAUGGCCUUGCUGGUAAAAUACCUUUGUCUAUUUCAUUUUUUAAAAAGCACGCUUGGUAAAAUGCCUAAGAUGCUACUAUCAUUCUAAUCCAAGGGCUAUUCAUUCUUUCUCCUUUUUCACUGGUCUAACUGCAGACUUAGUUUUUCUGCAGCAUUCUAAUGCUUUAACAAAUAACAUAACAUAUAAACAAGCACUGUUAUUUGCCUUUUAUUUUUUUAAUCUGUGCUUUUUUUUUUUUU